RNAcentral lists this ribosomal RNA (272 nucleotides) under Salmonella enterica subsp. enterica serovar Typhimurium. RNAcentral's name for it is "partial 23S ribosomal RNA". It matches the Rfam family "Bacterial large subunit ribosomal RNA", at positions 1116 to 1386 of the family's 2925-position model. The record is from RNAcentral. Lineage: Bacteria; Pseudomonadati; Pseudomonadota; Gammaproteobacteria; Enterobacterales; Enterobacteriaceae.
CCAUCAUUUAAAGAAAGCGUAAUAGCUCACUGGUCGAGUCGGCCUGCGCGGAAGAUGUAACGGGGCUAAACCAUGCACCGAAGCUGCGGCAGCGACGCUGAUGCGUUGUUGGGUAGGGGAGCGUUCUAUAAGCCUGCGAAGGUGACCUGUGAGGGUUGCUGGAGGUAUCAGAAGUGCGAAUGCUGACAUAAGUAACGAUAAAGCGGGUGAAAAGCCCGCUCGCCGGAAGACCAAGGGUUCCUGUCCAACGUUAAUCGGGGCAGGGUGAGUCG